This is a microRNA precursor of Petromyzon marinus (sea lamprey), 97 nucleotides long. The record is from Ensembl. NCBI's taxonomy places the organism in Eukaryota, Metazoa, Chordata, Hyperoartia, Petromyzontiformes, Petromyzontidae.
AGCAACAGGAGCCACAUGAUGAGAGAGAUGAGUUGCGGAUCGCUGAGCGAAUGUCGACCCAACAUCUAUCACCCCUUUCUGAUGGCUCCUCAACCUC